GCCGGGCGUGGUGGCUCACGCCUGUAAUCCCAGCACUUUGGGAGGCUGAGGCGGGCUGAUCGCCUGAGGUCAGGAGUUCAAGACCAGCCUGGCCAACAUGGUGAAACCCCAUCUCUA
This is an unclassified non-coding RNA of Macaca fascicularis (crab-eating macaque), 117 nucleotides long. It matches the Rfam family "Metazoan signal recognition particle RNA". Rfam says of the family: The signal recognition particle (SRP) is a universally conserved ribonucleoprotein. Lineage: Eukaryota; Metazoa; Chordata; Mammalia; Primates; Cercopithecidae. The record is from Ensembl.